Long non-coding RNA from Vespa mandarinia (Asian giant hornet), 9724 nucleotides. NCBI's taxonomy places the organism in Eukaryota, Metazoa, Arthropoda, Insecta, Hymenoptera, Vespidae. The record is from RefSeq and is a predicted model, not a curated record.
UAUAACUUUAUUGUUAGUCCAUUCGUUUUCUUCUUUUUAAUAAGUUCUCCUUUGGGUAAUACCGAGUCCGAGCGUUAAUUAAAAUAGAAGAUAUGAAUGAAUGAGCGUACCGAAAAUAUAAGAAAUGUAUCACAAUGUCGUCCAUUUUUAUAUAGAAAUGGAAUUGCGUACGACCUGUGUACAUUAAAUUUUUGGUACGCGAAACAGUGAUACUUAUUUGUGAUCGAUAAUCGCGACGAAAGGUAUAGGUAGAAUUUUAAAUUCGCCACCUUUCGCUUCGCCGUUUUGUUUUAAUUUUUUUUUUCCGUUUCCUUUAAUUUAGUACAGUUCUGUCGUUUAUAGCUACUUCAAAAUCCUUACGUUCUGCUUUUUUUUCUGUUUAUUCAACGGAUACGUUUGUGCACUAGCCUUUCUUUUUUAUUUUUUCUUUUCGUUUGUAACUCGUUUCACCACAAUAUUUAAUCCACUUGACAUUAAUUAUUAUUUUAUUUAACAUUAGCAUCUUCCAAAACCUAACAAACAUAUUCAGUGGAUCGUCUGUGAUGGUGAUAACUGAGUUGGGCCUACCAUCAUUUUAUAUUAUACAUACAGAUAAAUACACACACAUUUACACACAAAUACAUGUAGAUAGUCUCUAAUAUCGCGUAGGUUUUUGCAUCGAUAUAAAUAUUAAUGGUUUUUCUUCUAUUAUUAUUACUGUUAUCAUUAUGCAUUAUAUACGUACAGAAGAUGAUAUAGAUUCAUGUGCAUAUAUUAUAAAUAUAUAUACACAUAUAUUACGAAGAUACACACACGCAUAUGUACAGUAUGUACGUACAACAGAUAUACAAACAUAGCUCGUUUAGAAACAAGAAAACUAAUUUUAUCUAAUUUAGACAAACUAAAAAAAGAAUAUAUAUGUAUAUAUAUAUAUAUAUAUAUAUAUAUAUAUAUAUAUAUAUUGCUGUUUCGUUUUUGUCAAUAUAUGAAAUCUACUCUUUGAAAGAUGAUUGUUCGAACGAGAGGAAAAUUUUAAAGACCGGUCCAAAAGUCCGUUAAAAAGCUUGCAAAAGACUCGAUCUUGAUCAUUUUGAUCUUGUAAUGAUACGCACGCACCAGAGUCAAAUUCUUUAUAUUUUGAAGGUAUACCACGGACAAUGACUUGUCUCUCUUUUCUCUCGAACAACAGUAAGAACCGAUAUGUGUUUUCAACACGAUUCAUCACGAUGGUUUUCAACACGAUUCAUCACGAGGAUUUCUCGCCUACGGCGACACUUAUACACGCACGACUUUUCCAUGUUUUCUCGGCGUUUCUCGGAAGAUUAGCCAGAAGAUAAGAAGAGAUGAGGAUGGAAAGAAUUAAGAGAAAGGGGGGGAGGGGAGAAAGAAGAAGAAAGAGGAAAAAACGUCGAACCAAAUCGCGAGUUCUUUGUACUCGUCCAUAUAAUAACAAUACAUACAUAUAUAUAAGCAUAUAUUAUAUAUUAUUUACGCAAAGUAAACUUUAACGAGAAACGUACAAAAUGGAAAAGAAGGAAAUGAAAUAAGCGAACGCGCCUAUUACUGAUAACAAAGUUAAAGGAGGUGAAAGAGGAUAAGUUAAAAGGAGAGAAAUUAAAAAAAUCUUCGGACGUGGAUCACACGAAUAUUGGCAAGAAGGAUCGACGAGAAAAGAUUAGAGGAAAUUCGUUUAACAUCGGCUUUCCAUUUUCUCGUCGAUGCGAUUUCGGUCACGCGUGUUCUACGUCGCGAGUCCCGAUUAAGUUUCACAGAUUAUAAAUUUCAUGCCCUCCCUCGCAUACGCAAUUCCUUGAAAAACAAAAACCUCUUAUCGAAGGAAAUUAAAAGGGUAGGAGGAAAAGCCGGUUUUAUCCGAGGAACCCGAGUGCUAGAAUGAAAAAAACGUAUUAAAUGACAAAAGAAAAAAGAAAGAAAAAAGAAAAGAAACAAGAAGAAAAUUAUUCCUCUUAUUUCCUCUAAAUGGUGUAAUUUAAUAGUAAUAAUAAUAAUGAGAUGAAACAAUAAUGAUUAUGAUAAUGUACAUUACCCGAUUAUUGUUAAUACUUAAACGUUAGAGCAAGAAAGAAAUUUUAUAUCGAUUGACGCUACUGGAGAGCGAUUUUGUUUUUCCCUUUGCUCGCGAAGACGCUGAAUCAGAUGCGCCUUCGUCUCUCGAAGUUGCGUUCCGUAAGAAAAAGAACUUAUCGCGAUUAGAAGGAAGAAAACUAAUACAAGGCAAAAAUAGAGAGAGAGAGAGAGAUAGAGAGAGAGAGAGAGAGAGAGAGAGAGAGAGAGAGAGAGAGAAAGAGAGAGGAGAGAGAGAAAGAGAUAUGUGUUUUGUUUGUAACAGAUACGUUUAAAAAUUGUAUUAAUCAAUUUUAUUAAUGAGAAGACAGGGAGUACUACUUUGAAAGAAAGAGAGAGAUAAGUGGAAGAUAGAUGGAAAACGUUGUUGGAGAGACAAGGAUACCAGGCGUCGAUGACAGAAAUAGUACACACACCGGCUGUCUUUCACACUCUUACGGUUGAAAGAGUCCGAGCUCCAGGUUUGUUCUAACUUCUAAAAGCGUGUGCCGAUCUGGAGAAAUGAAAAGAAACGAAAAAAGCGGAUAAUUUCUGAGAAAGAAAAAGAAAGAGUCGUGAUUUUCAGGAGCUCGGCCGUUUAUCGAAUCGAUCGGAUACGUUGGCUAAGGUACAAAUGUACAUAGAACAUAAUGUUGUUAUUAACAAUACUAAUACAUAUACUUACAUAUACAUACACAAACACAACACAGCCAUAUAUGGUCGCUAUUCGCUCGUGCGCGUUUUUCGAAGCGGAUAAAAAGUUUAGAUAAAUGAAGAUGGGAAUAGAAAAUUUAUGAUGAUAAUUUGUUAAAACUCGGCUCGAAGAGAAAGAGAUAUUUGAUUGGAUUGAAAUAGAUGAAGAUGAGGAGUUGAGGAGAUGAGGAGAAGAGGGAGAAAAAAAGAGAUAUUAGAAAAGUUUUGUUGUUAGAAUGAUCUCGUACGAUUUUCGAAGGCGCGUAGGAGCGAGGAUUAUCGGACGAGAAUAUGAAAGAAUAUUGAUUAAUUAUGGAUCGGCGAUCGUUCGUUCUCCAUUUACAUCCAAUUGUCAGAAAAAAAGACAUGUUGAGAAAAAAGAUAUUACACUACAAAUCCGUUUUCGCUCUUCGCACUUGCACUACGCUCGGGACUUUAUUCUACAUGAUAUAACAUAUACAUAUAUAUAAUAGUAAUAGUAUGACGAUACGAAGGUAUAUAUGUAAGUGCGCUAGAGCGCUAAUUAAGAUUUUACGCGUGAGCAUAUAUUGAUCCCCUCCUCCAUACCCAUACCCAAAACACUCCCCGUAGUUCUAUGCAAACCCGAAAAUACCAAAACCCGUUUAUAAUAUACACUUCUCCUAUUAUUAGAAAAGGCUUUAAAAGGAACCAUUAGUGUUUGAAUGGCGUGUGAAUGUGUUGCUACUCCCUUUUUGUUUCUGUACGGUGUUAGCGUUCAUUCGUAAUACUAUAUUAUAUCAUAUAUAUAUUAUAUAUAUAUAUAUAUAAAUAUAUAUUGUACGUUUUAAAUAGAAUAGUAUACGUUGUGUGUAAAGGUGUAUCCAAGCGGCCAUUUUUUUCUUAUUAAAUUCAAUGAAAUUAGAAUGAUAUUGGUAGUAGUAAUUUUAAACGUAGUCAUUACGAACGAACAAUUCGUUAUGACAGUUUAAAAAAAAAAAUUAAAUUUUUCUUUUAUGAUUUUUAAAUUAAAAAAAAAUUUUUUUUUAAUUUAGGGCCGUUGUGAGCGGUACAUGAUCGUGUCAGUAUAUAAAUAGAAACCUUCAAUGUAUCUCGCGAUAGCAACGACGAUAAGAGAGAUACAUGUGUUUCUCGACGUAUACGUCAUAUGCUAUAUGCACAAAUACGACGUGUAAGACUGCAACGCGAUGAUUCGCUUUUUUUAUAAGAAAUUCGAUUACGGCAAAACGUAAAUUUAUAAAAUUAACACCAAUCGCGUGAGGAUUCUGACGGAGGGAAGCAUAAGUAAUAUUCGACGGAUAUUCGACGAGUAAGAUUUCCAGAAUUACGAUUCGGACUUUACCUUCUUUCGGAAUUCUUCGGACGUAUUAAGGAAAGAAUUUUUUUAAUAAAUUAUCUAUGGUAACCAUGAUCGUUGAGCGCGACAAGUUUCUUUUUCUUUUUUUUUUUUUUUUAGGAGGCUAAAUGUAACAAAGGCGCGGAUCCGAAGGGUAGAUUUUUAAAAGAUUGUCUCGAAGAAGUAAUGAGACCAUGACGAGAGGAGAGGAAGAAGAAAAAGAGGCAAUUAACACGAGGACUAAAUUAAGAGUUUCGUAAAAAUUUAGUAGAUCGUAAUUUGGAGCAUUUUUAUUCGGCUGUGUUUAAUAAGGGGUGGGGAUGGGGAAUGGGAGAAGAAAAAGAAAAAAAGAAAGGACGAAACGGAUAACUAAAAGAAAAAAAGAAAAAAAAAAAACAAAGCAAAAUUUAGAUUCGCUAAGAUUUCAAAAAUUUAGAUGAAUAAUUUUUGUACCCUAUUUUUUUAAGUGCGAUCAACUUCCUAGUCGAUCACGGUUAUGGAAGGGAAGGGUCGAGAAAAAGUUUUUUGAUACGCUAGACUUUAUCGGAUUUAAGGCGCCAAUUAAGUUUAGUUUUUAAGUGCGCGUUACUGUAAGCUGUAGAAUUUUUAUAUGUGUCAAAAUAAAGUGGAAAAAAAUGGAAAUUGGCGAUAAACGUAGAUAAUAUUGAUCCGAGAUUCGCCUCCGCUUAGCCCGUUAGGUUUUUUUUACGGACAACAAAAUUGAAUGGAGACGAUAAAAAAGAAAGAGAAAUAGAAGAUGAAAAAUUAUAGAGAAAAUUUUGAAUGAGAUCGAGUCCAGCAAAGUAGCACCUUCCGAAAAAGCUUUGAAAGACGAUCGAACAUAAAAAUUUCGAUCGUUUUCGAUAAUUAUCCUCGACGUUGAUUACGAUGACGACGACGACACGACGAUUGAUCGUGUUUUUAUUUUUUUUUUUUUUUGGAUCAAUCAACUUUCCAAUUUCUCACAUACACACAUACACACAGCGCAUCGAAUAAGGCCAAGGCGAAUUCUCUUAAUAGCCCCACACAACUCUUAAGUCUAUAAGUAAGUUUAUAAUAUAAAGGAAUGAAAUCAUUCAUUAGCUCUUCGUAAAGUAACUUAAUCGUCUUUUUAAAAUAAGUUGAAGAAAAAGAAAGGAGAAACCGAUCGGACGGCAAGCAUGGAAGCGAUCUAAAAGAAUCGUUGUAGAAAAAAACAUGCAUUUUGCAACGCAAAAGCAAUUUAAUCAUGCUGGUAGUGCGGACCAAACGGGACAAAUGCGGAAGAAAUGUUUUUUAAAAGGAAAGAGAAACAGAGAGAAAAAAGUUAGAAGAAAAUGAUUCGAGCGAAAGGAAAAGAAAGAUAAAUAAAUGGAAAGAAAAAAGAAGGAAGUGAGAGAGAGAGAGAAAGAGAGAUAUGGAGCGCACUUUAAGGUCGUGCAACCACGAAACUGCGAGUUUCAUUUACAAUAUAUUUCUGAUAUAGAUACUAUCAAAGAAAGAGGAAAAAAGAGAGUAAUAGUAUUAUACAGUAUGACCUCGUUUAACUUGAUCAUAAAGAAUUAUAAAGAAUUUUUUUUGUUUCAAAAAGGAAUUUGAAUUUAACAAAAUUGUUCACAAAAAUUUAUUGUAAAUUUUAACACUAGAACUUUUACCACAUCUAUCAAGUUGAUGAAUAUUUGAAAAAAAAAACAGUAUCCGUCGUAAUUAUUAAAGUUAAUAUUAUAUUUUAUUAUAAUUCCAAUUAAUAUUAUUUUAAAAAUUAUGAUUUCGAUAAAUAUAAAAGAAGACAUGUUAAAUCAUUUAAGUAGUUUUAAUGUUAAAUGAUUGGAUUUGAAUAGAUCACCACUUUCUCUAUAUGGAAAUAUUUUGAAUUAAAUCUUAUAAAGUAUUUUGAACGUAGGUAUUUUUUAAACGUUUCUAUCAUUGAUGAAGUUAAAAAGAAACUCUGUUGGAUUUAGCCGGCAAUGAUUACAAAGGACGUACAUUUAAUUUAAUUGGCAGACGUCUCGAGCAUUCGGCAAACAUCGUAUUCCUUCGGGUUGCAUCGAAAUGUAGUGGACAGAGAAAAUUCCUUUUGUUGCGAUCUCUCUUUAUCUUAACAAAAAGGAUAAAAAAGAGAAAAGAAAAAGAUUUUUUGAAUUUGAAAUUAAUCUUAUUUUUGUGUUUCGUGGUUGAACGCGCAUUCCAAUUUGCGAACCUGACUGGCUUCUAUCACGGGACAUUUUAUCAAUGUCCUGAGUGUUUCUUCUGAGUCAACAAAAAAAAAAAAUGAAAAAGGGAAAGGAAAAAUCGGUAUCGAAGAGAGAUAAAAAAAGUAAAAUGUUCCCAAGUUAGGAAGAAAAAAGCAGCGUGGCAGAUGUGUCCUUCGAUUACCUCCCCCACAUAAGAGUACAAAUUUUUCUAAUGGAUAAUUAUAUCGAACGCUGACUAAAAUAUAAAAACGAAGAAGAAAGACUAUGAGGCGAGAAAGAACAAAGUUUGAGAAAUAAAAUAAUGGGAGAAGGAACGCAAAGAUAACGGAAAAGUAAUGAAAAUUGAAAAAGAGGAAUUAUUAUUAUUAAUUAUUAUUAUCGAAGGAAAGAAAGGUGGAGCGAAUGUCAAAGGUGCGAUAGUGGAUAGAAAGAAAGUGUCGAAAGAGAUGGAAUUAAAUAUUAGAUUUAAAAAGGAAAGAAAAAAAAUAAACGUUUAAUGAUGUUUUCCCUGGUGGUAUAAAAUAAUAAUAUUAUUAUUAUUAAUAAUAAUAAUAAUAAUAUUAAUAAUAAUAAUAAUAAUAAUAAUAAUAAACAAUAAUAAUAAACAAUAAUAAUAAUUAUAAUAAUAAUGAUGGUAUAACGAUAUAAAAAUUUUAGAAGUUUAUUUAUACGGUACGUGAUUCGGCAUCUUACCAAGACUACGCAAGGGCCAUUGACGUUAUAUAUUUAUAUCGUGGUACGAUAUUUAUAUUUACGUAUAGAUACAGGAACACAUAUGUGAAGACACAAAAUCUAUUCGUAUGAAAAAUAACAGUACUCGUGUCAAAGACUCGAUUGCCGUUAAAGCAAUUUGAGAUGCGGCUGAGCAACGUUUUCUCGAUAUACCUCUUAAAAGAAGAAAAAAAAACAAAAUAAUAAACCAGAUUUUAAAAUUUAGGAUAAAAAACUAUAUAUGACGACGUUGGACAAUGGCCGGAUUCAAUACAAAGUUUCGAAAAACUUAUUUCGUGUUUAUCGGGCUGUUCUGAAAUACAAAAUGGCGUAAGAAGAAAAAUACAAAGAAAAAGCAUAUUAAAACGCAUACUAGAAAGGCAUAUUGAAAGAGGAAAUGAAUUCGCGAGAAGUUUAUAUCGUAGUUAUGUAAUAAGAUUUCGAAAUAUCGAUGUAGUUAGAAAUUCGGUGUGUUUAAAUUGCAUGAUGAAUCUAAAUACGAUAGGAUGCGAUAUAUUCGAGGGAAACCGAUAAUAAUACUACUGCUACUACUAUUAUACUAUUCUACCGCUACUGGUACUACUAAUCUACUAUUGAUACUACUAAUCUACUAUUACUGCUACUAUUAUCACUUACUAUUUAUUACUUACUAUUAACUAUUAUUACUAUCGAAAAGUUAUCUCUUUCUAGCUACCCCUUUUUCACUUUAAUAUGCUGACCAUCAGCCGAUCGUGAGUCGAUUAUAAAAGAUGUCCGUUUGUGUCAAAAAAGAAACUAUAGGAACUAACUUAUGGCGAAAAAGGAUGUUACGAUAUUUCGAUUUUUAAGAAUUCGGAGCAUUGUCAAGAAACGAAAAGUGAAUGUGUUGGAGUUCCCUCGAUUUUUAUAUAAACUUUUAUUUUCGAUAUAUUGACGUUGAAAAAAAUAAGAAAAAAAAAAAAAAAAAAAAAAAAAAAAAAAAAAAAAAAAAAAAAAGAUGGAGUUUCGUUUACGGCCUAGAUGACAGCGCGAAAAUCUCGUCGCCAAUAUAUUUCCGAAUUUUGGGAAAUCGAUAAUCGUAAAAAAUCACUUCGUAUACACGAUAUACAUAUUUAAUGAAAUAAACGAAAUAUCGAAUCAACCAUUACUGCCAUGUAACAAGACUCGAGAAACAUAAUCAAUUUCAGCCUAAUAAUAAUAACAAUAACAACAAUAAUAACAACAACAACAAUAAUAAUAAUAAUAGUAAUCACUUUUCUCCGAAAUAUUACAUUUUUAUAUACAUUUUUGAUAUUGAAACUUUAUACAAUUUCAUGCCAAUUAUUUAAACACAUAUUUCGAAAAAUAUUUCGUUGUUCCGAUGCCUUUUUAGACUGAUCUCUUGUCACGAGUAAUAAUCGAAAAAUAGAAAUUUUACAAAAUAGAAAAAUCUAUAUAAAUUGCUUAUAUGAAAAAAUAAAAAAUAAAUAAUUUACGAUACCGACGGCAAUGUCCGUGCAACGAAUUUCAUGAGAAAAUGAUUACAACAUUUUUCUGCAUUUUUUUUUUGUUUUCUAUCUUCUCUUUGUAUUCUGUGGUAAGAACUACUUUGUAUGAUCGACAACGACGAAUUCAUUUAUUUAUAUCGAUUAAUAAUGAUAAUAAUAAUAAUAAUUAAAAAAUUGUAAUAUUAGUAAUAACGAUUAGAGUAAUAAUGACAACAUAGUAAUAAUAAUUGUAAUAGGGAUAAAAGAUCAUCCAAUGAAUGACGUUAAAGAUAGUGAGUAACACCAAGGAUUAAAACCAACAAUCGGAGGGGAAUAAAGACGUCGAAAAAAAUAUACGCGCGUCCAGACACCGUCGACUCAGUUGACUCCAUAUUCGAAUCUUCAAGAAUUCCUUGAUCAUUCGAAUAUCCGUACGUUUUGUCUCGAGGGCUGGGUGGACGGUCAACGGUUGUCGACAAAAAAGUGAGAGAGAUACGUAUACACAUUAUUAAUAAUAAUAUACACUAUGGAAAUAUAUACAUAUAUACUAUAUAUAUAUUUUUGAUAUAAAUCUAUUCAAAAGUGCUCGACAAAAAAAGAAGAUGAGUGGAAGAGAGCUACGUAAAAAUGUAAAUAGAAAGUAUAACAACAAUAAUAAAAAAAAGAACAGGUGUGUUUUUUUUUUAAUAAUAUUCGUCGUUGUCGACCAAAAGAGAGGAGAAACGUGGCUGCUUUAUGAGUGACAUCCGUAUAUCAAAAUUUAGAGAGAAAUUUUCUAAUCGCAUGGAGAGAAUGUCUAUAAGCCUCCUUCAAUCGACGUAUAUGUCUUUAUCAUAUACGUUUGUGUGAAAAAUUUGGAUUUUUAUUUGGAAUUGAAAGAAAUGUUCGGAAAAACUCGUUUUGCGGCCCGUUGAAACUUUCCUACAAAGUUUUCAUUCUUAUCGUUUAAAGACAGUCAAUGGCUCGCAGUUGUUUUAACUCUACACUAUUGAAUUUUUAUCAAUUCUUUUAUAAUUCGUUUAAAUGCCAAAGAGCACGGAGAACAUGACACAUUUAGGGUGGGAAUUUUCAAAUAUAUAUAUCAACCAUCGGGACACGUUGAUGGAUUCAAAAAUUAAUUCAAAGAUUCCAUCAUUCGUAUCUUCACUUUCAUAUCUCGUUUAUAUUCACAUAGCUAGUAAUCGAACAAGACCGAUUUCACGUUUAUCUGAAAAGUUUUUUAACAAAGGUCUUCAACGGACAGUCUCUUGUAAGUUAUGAUCGACCAACGAAACAUCGUUCGAUCGUAUCAAUAAGAACGGAAGGAAAAAAUAAAAAAAAUAAAAAUAAAAAAAAAAGAAAAA